GCGGAGGAAAAGAAAAUAACAAUGAUUUCCCCAGUAACGGCGAGUGAAGAGGAAAGAGCUCAAAGUUGGAACCUGUUUGGCCUAGCUAAACCGGAUUGUAAACUGUAGAAGUGUUUUCCUGGCACGCCUGGUAAAUAAGUCCUUUGGAACAGGGCAUCAUAGAGGGUGAGAAUCCCGUCUUUGGCCAGAGCAUGUGUCUUUUGUGAUACACUUUCAAAGAGUCAGGUUGUUUGGGAAUGCAGCCUAAAUUGGGUGGUAAAUCUCACCUAAAGCUAAAUAUCUGCGAGAGACCGAUAGCGAACAAGUACCGUGAGGGAAAGAUGAAAAGAACUUUGAAAAGAGAGUUAAACAGUACGUGAAAUUGUUAAAAUGGAACGGUUUGAAGCCAGACUGGCUUGGUUGUAAUCAAUCUAGGAUUCGUCCUGGAUGCACUUGCAGCCUAUGCCUGCCAACGACAGUUUUUCUUGGGGGAAAAAACUUGAGGAAAUGUGGCCCUUCGGGGUGUUAUAGUCCUUUUGAAAAUACCCUGGGAGAGACUGAGGAACGCAGUGAAUGCCUUUUAGGCGAGAUUGUUGGGUGCUCUUGUUGAUAUAUGCUAGAAUUUCUGCUUUGGGGUGGUGCUAGUGUAUAAAGGUAGGACUCGCUUAAUAUAUCUUCUAUUCACUUAGGUUGUUGGCUUAAUGACUUUAAAUCAC
This 695-nucleotide ribosomal RNA is filed under the name Mucor sp. CBS 334.71. Its description in RNAcentral is "eukaryotic LSU rRNA". It matches the Rfam family "Eukaryotic large subunit ribosomal RNA", at positions 50 to 648 of the family's 3401-position model. Lineage: Eukaryota; Fungi; Mucoromycota; Mucoromycetes; Mucorales; Mucoraceae. The record is from RNAcentral.